GAGGAUGCGAGCGUUAUCCGGAUUUAUUGGGUUUAAAGGGUGCGCAGGCGGAGUGUCAAGUCAGCGGUAAAAUUUCGGGGCUCAACCCCGGCGAGCCGUUGAAACUGACGCCCUUGAGUGCGCGAGAAGUAUGCGGAAUGCGUGGUGUAGCGGUGAAAUGCAUAGAUAUCACGCAGAACUCCGAUUGCGAAGGCAGCAUACCGGCGCGCAACUGACGCUCAUGCACGAAAGCGUGGGUAUCGAA
RNAcentral lists this ribosomal RNA (244 nucleotides) under uncultured bacterium. Its description in RNAcentral is "partial 16S ribosomal RNA". It matches the Rfam family "Bacterial small subunit ribosomal RNA", at positions 528 to 772 of the family's 1533-position model. The record is from RNAcentral.